Molecule: long non-coding RNA, 417 nt
Filed under: Prunus dulcis (almond)
Lineage: Eukaryota; Viridiplantae; Streptophyta; Magnoliopsida; Rosales; Rosaceae
Description: sRNA ncRNA
Source: RNAcentral
AGAAAUAGGGUGGGGUUUGACAAUUUCACACCCCAACCCCAGCAAACCCUCAAGGCCAUUUUCGACCAGGUAAAUGAAAGAUUCUCUCUAAAGCAUCUAAUCACCUCUUCCACCACAAGAUCAGUUCAUCCCUCUGCCCAGGCGUCUUGGGCAGCCCCUGCUGAGCCUUUUGUCAAAAUAAAUGUUGAUGCCGGUUGGAGGAAAAGCACAUGUCAUGCGGGGGCUGGCAUAGUUAUUCGAAACUUUGAAGGAAGAUUUCUUGGGGCCAAAUCUGUGGAUUUUCAAGCGGAGAAUGCUCUUAUAGCUGAGGCAACAGCGUUAUGGGAGGGCUGCAAAUUUGCUAAGGAGCAGGGUCACAACAUGGUUUGUUUCGAGUCAGAUUCUUUGGAGCUUAUCAAAAGUGUUCGUGGCUCUUUU